UGUUUUUGCUUACUUUACUUCUGGAGUCUCUCAAAUUCUUAAAUUAUAAUUAUGCAGGUGGCAACGCAAUCUAAUACAAACUUUCAUGUACUGGCAGCUAUUGAAGCUCAUGUACCAUGCCCCUGUUACUGCUAGUUACCACAACAAUGUAUGGGCUGAGAUUGGGAGGAUUGUCAAUCCGCUCGUCCACCGCUACGCCCCAUUCUUGAAUACUCCAAUUUCUGCUGCCCAGAGAUGGUGGUUCAGGUAGAUGAAGGUAGCCUCAAAGAGAAAGGGAAGGGGAAGGGGAAGGGGAAGGGGCCAAAAAAAGUAUUCCACCUGGGCAUCACUUGAGAACUUUUUAUCUAGAAAGAAUUAACUUAUGUGUCUCACAAAUCUUUCAUUAUGGUUAUAGCUGGAACUGAGGUAAUGUUUGUGCCCACGCAUGAAAUGUAAAACACAUGUAUGGAUUAAUUUCCUGAAAUGAAUAUCUAAGUUUUGAUUGUGACAUGAAA
Molecule: long non-coding RNA, 494 nt
Organism: Alnus glutinosa
Lineage: Eukaryota; Viridiplantae; Streptophyta; Magnoliopsida; Fagales; Betulaceae
Exons: 2
Source: RefSeq, a predicted model, not a curated record